GAUGAACGCUGGCGGCGUGCUUAACACAUGCAAGUCGAACGAAGCAUUUAAGACAGAUUACCUCGGUUUGAAGUCUUUUAUGACUGAGUGGCGGACGGGUGAGUAACGCGUGGGUAACCUGCCUCAUACAGGGGGAUAGCAGCUGGAAACGGCUGGUAAUACCGCAUAAGCGCACAGUACCACAUGGUACAGUGUGAAAAACUCCGGUGGUAUGAGAUGGACCCGCGUCUGAUUAGCUUGUUGGCGGGGUAACGGCCCACCAAGGCGACGAUCAGUAGCCGACCUGAGAGGGUGACCGGCCACAUUGGGACUGAGACACGGCCCAGACUCCUACGGGAGGCAGCAGUGGGGAAUAUUGCACAAUGGAGGAAACUCUGAUGCAGCGACGCCGCGUGAGUGAAGAAGUAGUUCGCUAUGUAAAGCUCUAUCAGCAGGGAAGAUAGUGACGGUACCUGACUAAGAAGCUCCGGCUAAAUACGUG
Molecule: ribosomal RNA, 481 nt
Filed under: uncultured bacterium
Lineage: Bacteria
Description: partial 16S ribosomal RNA
Rfam family: Bacterial small subunit ribosomal RNA
Source: RNAcentral